GUAGGUGGCAAGCGUUGUCCGGGAAUUAUUGGGGCGUAAAGCGCGCGCAGGCGGUUCUUUAAGUCUGAUGUGAAAGCCCACGGGCUCAACCGUGGAGGGUCAUUGGAAACUGGAGAACUUGAGUACAGAAGAGGAAAGCGGAAUUCCACGUGUAGCGGUGAAAUGCGUAGAGAUGUGGAGGAACACCAGUGGCGAAGGCGGCUUCCUGGUCUGUAACUGACGCUGAGGCGCGAAAGCGUGGGGAGCAAACAGGAUUAGAUACCCUGGUAGUCCACGCCGUAAACGAUGAGUGCUAAGUGUUAGGGGGGUUUCCGCCCCUUAGUGCUGCAGCUAACGCAUUAAGCACUCCGCCUGGGGAGUACGGCCGCAAAGGCUGA
RNAcentral lists this ribosomal RNA (377 nucleotides) under uncultured organism. RNAcentral's name for it is "partial 16S ribosomal RNA". It matches the Rfam family "Bacterial small subunit ribosomal RNA", at positions 527 to 897 of the family's 1533-position model. The record is from RNAcentral.